Non-coding RNA from Rattus norvegicus (Norway rat), 13939 nucleotides. Lineage: Eukaryota; Metazoa; Chordata; Mammalia; Rodentia; Muridae. The record is from RefSeq and is a predicted model, not a curated record.
UCACUUGGCUUCACCGAUGUUUUCUGUUUAGGCUGUGGGCCAGAUAGAAAAGGAUAUUUUGCUUGACUCUCUCAAUAAGCACGAAUAGUUAUUCAGUGUGGGAUAUAAGUGGGGGUAGUGGUAGAAGAAACAGGGUUUCUGUUAGAAUGAAAAUACUGGAUCCAAUUCUUGUUCAUUUUAUAGAACACAUAAAUGUCAUAUCAUAAUGUGUGUGUCACACCUUCUGUAAAAGUAAAUAAUGAACUUGGAGAAAAUAGGCAAAAAUUAAUUCAAAGAAAGAUUUUGGUUUCGGAAGUAAAGGUAAUACUAGUACUAAAAUAAGACAAAUAGGUGUGGAACAGGAGCAAACUAGACGUCCCCUGAAGGCUCUGUUUCUGGUAGCCCAUCACAAGGGUAAACCCUGGAUAGCCUUUGCUCCCUACUCAGCCAGUCUCUUUGUUCUGUCUUCUUUUCCCUCACUCACCUGGUCAGUUUCAUUCCAAGAGCAGUAAACCCAGCCAGAUAAGCUUAAGGGGAAGAGAGGGAAAUUAAUUGCACCACAACUAGAAUCUCCCAUGGAGCUCAAGAACUUCACAAUAGCAAAACAUAAAAACAAAAGCACAUCGCCUGACAGUCACCAGGUGGAAGGCAAGGAAGGAUUCCAGGCUCUGGGGAUGGGGAAUGUUGGCGAUUGGGUAUGUGUAUGUGCAGUUAAGCAAAGACUUCCCUUUCAAGUUAGCUAUUUGGGAAUGGCCGAGUAAUAGGCGUCCCGCCAUUUUCUAAGCCCAUACCUCUACUCUGUGAUUCAUUUACUACCCUGUAAUUUACAGAACCUGCUUCUUCACCCCAACCUGGAGAAAUUUAACGACAAUUACUUAUAGUAUUUAUGACCCGACAUGUUAUUUCUUUAUAUGCCUGCCUAUUCGUUAUGUUCCUUGACUGGUCCUGGCAGCAGUUUCCACUGGCCCUCCACAGUGCAGCUUCAUUGUGUAUAUUUCGAAGACCUUCAGGUCCUCGCUAACGGAGCUGCAGAAUCUGGAUUCGUAAAUGGUGUGGAUCUUUUUUUUUCUUUAUUUCCUAAUUCUUAUCACAUCCCACAGAAAAGUAUUCGAAGUCAGAUGAAGAAGGGAAGAUCUGUUAGAACCACUACACUGGCAAAGGGUCAACAAAGGAACAACUGAAAGAAAUAGGUAACCCUCUCCCCAGCCCCCAGCGAAGGAGGAUCAUCAGGACUGGGAGACAGGCCAGGGGUGUUAUCUGGAGGACCAGUUUUAAUACAAGGAAGCACAUGUGACCAGGGGUAGAAUGGGAACAGCACAAGUCACAUGCCAUUGUGAAGAUAGACCAAGGUAAAGAACGUAACAGCUAAGGCCGGAGGAGGAAGGACUAAAUGGCAAAUUUUAUAUGGAUUCACAGCUAGGCUUAACCCCACCACACAAGAAUUACUUGAAUAAUUACAAGAAGCAAAUAUAUUGAGGCUGGUCUGUGAGGAAGGGUUUCUCAAAAAAAAUAAUGAAGAGCAAAAGAGAGACAAGUGGUAUUCUUGAAAUCUGACUAAAAACUUCACAGUGGAAUAAUUAAUUCUGAGUCUUAAACUAUGUAGCUAUUUGGAAAGACGGUCUCCUCUUCCCAUCAUGCCAAACUUCUUUUCUCAAAAAAUUUUUUUCUGCUGAACCUUUAAUUUGAUACUGUUUUCUGUACAAACUUCAGAUCAGCUCUUACAGGUCCCCUAAUAUGCUGGCUGCAACAAGAGCCACAGAAGAAGGAAAAAUGAAGUGAAACGUUUGCCUAUUACAAUGGAAGGAGUUGAAAGCGAGGGAAGAAAGAGGGUAAAAGGUAUAUGGCCCAUGGUGGCAUGAAUGAGAAUGGGCCCAGAGGUUCAUAUAUUUGAAUAUUUAGUACCCAGUUAGUAGAACUGUUUGAGAAGGAUUAGGAGGUGUGGCCUUGUGGGAGGUGUGUCACUGGAGGUGGGUUUUGAGGUUUCAAAGACCCUCACCAGGUCCAGUUCAAUUCUCUCAUUCCCCACCCCCAGUCUGAAAGUGGUGGAUCAGACCUAAGCUCUCAGCUACUUCUCUAGUACCGUAGCUGCCUGCCUACUGCCAUAUCAUGAUGAUCAUGAACUAACCCUUUGAAAUUGCAUGCAAGCUCCCAGUUAAAUGCUUGUUUCUGUAAGUUGCCUUGGUCAUGGUGUCUCCUCACAGCUGUAGAACACUAGUUAAAACAUACCCCAACCAGAGAAGAGGAGGGUGAUGAUGUCACACAAACUAUCAUAGAAAGUUUUAGAUAUAACAAAGGAAACCUCCUGAAGCUUCUUCAGCUUCUGGAGUAUAACCAUUCGUGAUUCCUUCAAUCUUCAUUGCCCCAUACAUAAUUAAGUCAAUACUGGAGGUUGACAUAUGUUAUUGCUUCUAAACUUUGAUUUCUGAAUAGAGCCCCAUUCUUCAUCCUUCCAGACAUAACUCUGUACAUGUAUUUGUGCAUGUGGUAGUCUUGGUGGUGUGUGUGUAUGUGUGUGUGUGUGUGUGUGUGUGUGUGUGUGUUCAUGUUUGUAUGCACAUAUGUGUAUAUGAUAUGUGUGCAGGUUCAUUUGCAUAUGUGUGCCGAUGCAUAUGCAACAGCCAUACAGCUGUUGUUUAUUGAGACAGGGACUCUUGACGGCCCGGGACUAUUCAAGAAGUCUAGACCAUCUGGCCAACAAGUCCCAGGAAGCCACCUAGCUCUGUCUCACUGCUACUGAGAUUCUAAGAACACCAGACAAAAAUGUUUUCUGUUCAAAGGCAAAAAAAACUGGUAGCAAAAACCCCUCAGUUUCUUAGCCCACUACUGUUCCAUCCGGUGCCUUCCUAAUUGUAAGGCUUGGUAUGUGCAGCCCUUCACAGCUUGGAAUUACCUUGGGUUUUCAAAGUGAAGCACAGAAAGGAGCUGAACUGAAACGAAAUCUUGGUCAUCAUCUUAGAAAGCAACGACCAAAGUCUUUUUCUUCCUGCCAAUCAGUAAAGCUCAGAUUGCUGCCCAGAUAAACAUGGAAGGAAAGGUAGAGUUCCAGGAGCCUGUGCUUUUCCUGAUCACUCACUCACUCAUUCAUUCAUUCACUCACUCACUCACUCAUUCAUUCACUCACUCAUUCAUUCACUCACUCACUCAUUCAUUCACUCACUCAUUCAUUCACUCACUCACUCACUCAUUCAUUCACUCACUCACUCAUUCAUUCACUCACUCACUCAUUCAUUCACUCACUCAUUCAUUCACUCACUCACUCAUUCAUUCAUUCACUCACUCACUCAUUCAUUCAUUCAUUCAUGUAACAUUUAUUAUGGACCUCCUUGGGCCAGCAUCUAUGGUUAUCACAAGAGACACCAAACAGUUGUAGUCUCUGUGCUGAAGGAUCUUGUAGCAAAGAUAGUUACAUCUGGGGAAGAUGGCCCACACCUUUAAUCCCUGCACUUGAGGAGGCAGAGGCAAGUGCAUCUUUGUAAGUUCGAGGCCAACCUGGUCUACAGAGUGAGUUCUGGAACAGCCAGGGCUACACAGAGAAACCUUGUCCUGAAAAACGAUAGAUAGAUAGAUAGAUAGAUAGAUAGAUAGAUAGAUAGAUAGAUAGACAGACAGAUAGGCAAAGCUGCAGAGUACAAUAUAACAGAAAAUGUUCCUCAGAACUAGGGCAGAAGAGCAAGCAAGGCACCUUGACAUACUAGGGGGAAAUAGACUAGAAGAGCCAAACUCAUGGCCUGGGGUGCUUAAGGUUGGAAGAGAAGAGAGCUUUACCUCAGUCAGCAAAGAAAAGGCUGGAUUAUGAGACUUUUAGUUCUUAGCUUGGCUUUGAAUGGUAAGAAAAAACAAAACAGAACUUUAGAACAUGUCCUUUUCAAGUUCUAUGCAACCGCUAUCGUUCUUUUCAAACUCUUGGGUUCGUGUGUAGUCCCGAGUGAUUAGGGCAGAUUAUUCUACGUGCCUCAGACACUUCGGUAAGAGGCUAAAUGUAUUAGGGCUUAACAUAAACCUGUACAUAAGAUAAUAUAAACCUUUUAAUUAAAAAAUAUAUAGAUACUGUUAUAAGAUUGCCUGUCAGGAAACACUCGUCUUUGGAAGUCUCAGAUGGUCACCACACAGAACAAAAAUGUUUAGAUGCUGGCAACAAGACUGGCAAUUUCCACAGUUGGAACAUGUCUGACAGGAUUGACAGACCCUGGAUAUUGAUGUAGAUUUGAGGCUUCAUUUAUAUUUGGGAGAAGCAUAAUUACAUUUUGAUUUUAUGUCAUUUCUCAUGGAAUAGACUUGUUAUUUGACUGGGACUGUAUAUUUGUAGUAAGCUAUGCAAUUUGUAUUGGGUAUUUUCCUUAUCUGUGCGUCUUCCUGGGCUCUGUCUAUACUGAAGCUUCCCAUAUAAGCAGCGCUGCCUCAAGCUUAGGAGCUGAUGAGUUUGCAGUCAGAAAGUUCUUCAAUGAACACUGGCUCUGCCGUUCCCUACUUAUCUGACCUUGAACAAACUCCUUACACUCAUUAACCCCAGGACCUCAGUUCCCUAAACUGUAAAAUGGGAAUAAAAAUGGUGUCUACUUUUAAGGCUUACUCUGGGAAUUAAACAUGAUCAUGAAUAUAAAAAUAGUUCCUGACAAUAAAACAGCUUAUUUAAAAAACUCAACUCUUAUACAUGGCUUGUUGUAUAGAGUGAUGUUUAAUGUUCAUCCUGUGGCACUUAGGGUGAUAAAUAGCAAUUUUACCUUCUGAGUGAUCUCAUUAAAAUGUUUGAGAGACUUGGGAGAGCAUUCUUUAAAUACUGCUGAAAUUUAAUAGGAUGAACAAACUAUUUUCUUCUUUUUCUUUACAAAUGAUAGUGGUAUUUCUAAUUAUUUAAAUAACAGUAGAAAAUCCAGUGUUUCUGGAUUUUCUAACUUGACUCGUUUAGCUUUCUCAGUGUGUGUCAGGAGUAUAUCAAGAACACGGUUUUGGGGGGAAGGCUGAGGAAAUGGCUCAGUGAGUAAAGUGCUUGCCGCACAAGAGUGAGAAACUGAAGGGGUUGGGGAUUUAGUUCAGCGGUAGAGCGCUUGCCUAGCGAGCGCAAGGCCCUGGGUUCGGUCCCCAGCCCCGGGGAAAAAAAAAAAAAAAAAAAAAAAAAAAAAAAAGAAACCAUCUGGUGUUUUGGGGCUGGGGAUUUAGCUCAGUGGUAGAGCGCUUGCCUAGGAAGCACAAGGCCCUGGGUUCGGUCCCCAGCUCCGAAAAAAAGACCCCAAAAAAAAAAAAGAGUGAGAAACUGAGUUUGGAUGGCCAGUAACUACAUAGAAGCAGAGCAUGAUAGCUUACAGAUGUAAGUCCAUGGCUGAGAGACAGAGAUAGGGUGAUCCUGGUGCACUCAAUGGCCAAUCAGAGUAGCCUAAACUGUGAGCUCCAGGCUCCAUCUCAGUCUCAAAACAUAAUAUGGAGAGCCACAGUGGAGGAAAUCUUCAUGCCAGCCUGUGUCCUCCAGUUUCUGCAUGCACCUGAAGGGCAAGUGAACACCCGUGCACGCACCAGAGCUCAAGCACAUGCACACGUGUGCGCACACACAUACAUACACACACAAACACACACACAUACACAAACACACAAACACACAUACACACACACAUUCACACACACAAACACAAACACACAUAUACACAUACACACAUAAACACAAACACACACACACCAACACACACAUUCACACACACACAAACACAAACACACAUAUACACACACACACAAACACACAUAUACACACACAAACACAAACACACAUAUACACACACACAAACACACACAUUCACACACACAAACACAAACACACAUAUACACACACACAAACACACACAUUCACACACAUUCACACACAAACACACAUAUACACAUACACACACAAACACAAACACACAUAUACACACACACACAUACACUCACAUACCUCACACACACACACACACACACACACAGGGGUGGGCAGGCACAGAGAUAGAGACAGAGACAGAUAGAGAGAUAAAGACAGAGAGACAGAAAGACUCAAUGUAACUCCAAUGUUGCAUCCUUGGUAUUUUAAAGUCUUAUAAUAUUUUUUUCCAAGUGAGGUUGAUCAGAAUCAGCAGUGAUUUUUAAAAAUCACUUUUUAAAAAAUUGUGACUUUUUUUAAAAAAUUCAAAUGCCUGGCUUGGGCAUGUGGGGAAAUCUGUGACUAUUAAGAAAACACCUAACCCCACUGACUUUUAUGAAUUCCUAAGCUUAAGAGUGGUUUGACUACAGAAGUAAUUGUUCCAUAAAUAAGCUGUGUUUUCUGAGGGGUUUCGUGGUUGGUAUUCUUACUUGAAUGACAACAUGUGUGAUGCAGUCAUGGUGACACAUCCUGACAUUUGCAACACGAUUGGAAGUCCUCAGCAGCAAUUUCCAAAUGACUUUAUGAACAGUCAUUUACUUUCUCUUCUGAUUCUUCAGAAACAGCUGCCUCCCUCUCAGUCAAUACUGUUACUCCUGCUUAGUGAAGAGAAGGACGGAAAAUGAGCGGGAAGUGAAAAGUCGAAUGAUCAGGGUCCACAGAGGCCCCUUACGGAGUGUUAACGUGUCCGUGGCUAACCUCUUUGAACGGGACUUUCCCCUUUCUGGUCCCUAAGACUCCUGAGUAUCUAGCAUGUGUUCCCACAGCAUCACUGUCCUAUAUAUCCCUGCCCCAUUUCUAUCCUCAUAGCUAUUCCAUACCCACUUUGAUUGAGGAUGGUAUCUGAUAAAUGCUUCUUGACCUAGCAAAGUGGUAAAUAAUGUUCCUUGUUUCCGUUUGUAAGUAAAGGAGAAACAUACGUGGGGAAAUGUCAGCAUGAUUUAAAGUGCGAGCAGAAAAGAGAAAUGUGCUUACGAUUAUGUUCGGGGGGGGGGCUUGCUUUCUAUUACACGACCCUUAGGUAAUUACAGACACAGACAGGCGUGCUGUGGAGGUAGCCUUGCUACCUGCUGCCCCAGUAUGUCUACUCUACAAGUAUUAGCUUGCCGAGCCAUUUUCCAAUGUCUAAGCAAGAUGACAAGUACUGAUAUUUUAAAUUAUGUGGUUUGAGGAUUGGUUGGCCAUUGAGUGAAAUAGUGCUAACCUCCUUUUGUUUGUUGAUUUUGUUUUGUUUUGAGACAGUAUCUUCCUCUGUAGCCUAAGCUAGCUUUGAACUCACAACAACCCUGAUGUUUCAACCUCUCCAGUUCCACAAUUACAGAUAUGAACCAUGGUGCCUGGCUGCUAACUUUCUUUUGAUUAAAAACCAUUUUAGGAGACCCUUCUAGCUAUAGCGAGAGUCAUGCUGUGUGGUAAAUGUGAAGAUUACAACCGAAGAAAUCCAAAUCUUUUCAGUAUAAAUCUAUAGGUAUGUCACAGAAGGCACCAGUCCACUUAGCAACGUCAAGCAAAAGAGUGGUCUAGAGGCUGACAUGGCUCUGUCUAUUCUCUUGAUCAGAGAGCUUGUUCUCAGUACCUUGUCAGAGCAAUGGCUGUUUGUACCCAUGGGCUUUGGAGUCAAAAAGGUAUGGAGUUGUAAGUUCUGGAUCCACCCUUUAUCAAUUGUCUAGAUCUUCACAAACUGUCCUCACUUUCACCAACUGUAAAAAAUUAAAUAUAAUAAUAGUUUUAGUGAGAAAUACAGGACAAUGGACACAAAGCCCUUAGUAGGAGGCUCAGCAUGUGGUAGCACCUGUGUUCUUUGGCAUUCUACAAUUAUAUUGUUGCAAUCCUUUCCUAUAUUUUCUCCAAGUAUUUUUAAAAACUUAAUAAUAUAUCAAGGUGUUCCAAAUGCCCUAUUCCUUGUUUUCUCAACUUCACUGAUUCGACAAGUAUUCCCCAAGUAACUAUUAUGCUCUACCUUCUUAAAUCAGAGAGGAAAACAAAGGAAGACAGCAGCCAUGGAGCAUACGCUGCAGAUGAGGGGGUAAGUACAAUAGACAAUAAACACAGUCAAUAAGUCAUUUCCAUGGAAUGAAAAAUGAGAUGAGUAUUACGGAGACAGGUAAUGGGAGUCAGAGCAUUCCAGUUCUGAAUGGGAACAGGAUAGGGCUUCUUGGGAAGUGUAAACAUAGAGCCAUGGGAAGUGUGUGUGUGUGUGUGUGUGUGUGUGUGUGUGUGUGUGUGUGUGCGCGCGCGCGCGCGCAAGCAUUCAUAUAUUUGCGCACACGCACAGUCCUGAGGUAACAGUGACUAUUUUCUCUUUCAGGCCACACUCUGUUCUCUUCUCUGUUCUUUAAGGUCACAGGUUGUCCAUUCUUUACCCACUCUGCUUUCACAUCUCAGGACUUUGGGUGAUAGAUAAUGUUAUCAGUUAAAAAUAUGUAUGAUAAGUUCAAAAUACUUAUGCUUUUUCUCUUUGUGUUUUGUAGCAGAGUUUAUGUAACAUCAAACUGUAUGGUUUACAUAUCAUAAAGGCAAAAGCUUUGACCCCCCCAUAGAAAUGUGUGCAAUUAAACUAUAAGUCCAUGGUUAGAUUUACUCUUAGGCAACUUUUUAUUAAAAACAAACCACGAAGUUGAUUUUUACAUCUCGAUUAAGCAGGAGGAGCACAGCAGUGGUAUUCAGAGGCAGGGUCUGCCCCUAGCCGCACCCCGUCCAACCCUUUUCAGCCCACUUGGUGCCUGCCAUUUGACAGUUCUGUGCCUACGACUUUCUCAAUUAUGAAUUGGGGGUGGCAAACAGUGUCCUUUCCACCUCUCUAAUUCCACGAGUCUUUGAAAAGCUACAAGAAUAUUUCUCUUCUAGAAACUAGCAGAGGUAUAAUGAGUAGGACUCUAUAAUCUCUCGGCAUCUGUUUUAUUGAAAACUGUAAUUAAGGUGAUUUGUCCAUUUUUGGAUAGGAACAAAAAUAGAGUGUGCUGAUCUUCCACAUAUUAUUUGUGCCUCUUUACCUACCAUGUUAUAAAUGAAUAUAUUAUUACAGGGAGAAUAUAUCCUUGCUACAUCCUGUCCACCAGGAGUCUUGUCAGAUACAUAGAACUUCAGGACGUGACUGUCACAUGUUGGCUAUGACAUACUUGAAAUAGUCCACUCUCUGUUAACCUACAGAAACUCACAUGUGGUCUAGGCUUGUCCUUGAGGUCUCAGAGCCUUUAAACAGCAUUGUUUAUGUCAGAAUUAAUUCUAUCAUAAAUGUGUUAUGAGCUUCAUUUUUAUAUAGGGGAAAAAAUGGAAAUACAGCCAAAAUCCUACAAAGUUCAGUCACAGUACUACCUAGAGAUAUAGCUCAGCGAUAGGGGGUUUGCCAAGCACAUUGAGGGUCUAGGUUCAACUCGACAGGGCCUCCAAUAAGAGGUCAAGAGGGGUACAGCAGUUAGGAGAACUUGCUGCUCUUCCAGAGGACUAGAAUGUGGUUAACAGCACCCACAUCCAACAGUUUACAUGAGAGCAUGCAACUUCCCUUCUGGCUUUCAUGAGUAUCCAGUGAUGACAGGAACAUGUGCCUGCACACAGGAAACACAGGCACGUAAACUUAAAAAUUAAUCCUGCAAUAAAUUAAUUAACUAAAAAUCAAACGUACUUUCUGCUACAAACUCUGACCUUUCCUUAAUCCUCCAGACCAGGGUUGACAAACUACUGCCUAUACAAAGGCCUAAUCUGCUCCCUAUUUACAUUCUUCCUUCCUCCCUCCCUUUCUUCCUUCCUUCUUUCCUUCCUUCCUUCCUUCUUUCCUUCCUUCCUUCUUUCCUUCCUUCCUUCCUUCCUUCCUUCCUUCCUUCCUUCCUUCCUUCCUUUCUUUCUUUCGUUCUUUCUUUCACUGGGUGUUUCAAUAGGAUCGUUACACUUUUUACUGCUUAAACAAAUGAGAAGAAUGUGAAUGUGUGGUAUGUGUGGCAUGUGUGCAUUCUAUGAAAUCUGAAUUGCAGUGUUCCUAGACCAAGGGGUUUACUGAGCACUGGUUUUCUAUCAUCUGCCCAUAUGUGUAUGGCUGCUUUCUCAAGAAAGUUCUUACUUGUCCCAGGAUGUAUGGCUCCAAAGCCUAGAGUAUUUAUUACUUGUCUUUGAGGGGGAAAAAUACUCAUCUCUGAUCUAGACUAUAUGGAUCUCUUAGCUAGAAUAUCUAAAAAAAUAAAUUAAAUUAAAAUUGAGGAACAGACUAAACUCAUAGACUGCCACCGUUGAAUAAGAAAACUAUACAUCCUUCCUUGUGCUAAGAAGUUGGCUGACUAUUUGUUUCUUUGUUGUUAUUCUUAUUUCUUUCCACUUUCAUUCAUCUCUUUAUCCUACCAAUAUAAUUAAUUACCUGAGAAUGUUAUUAAUCAAAUGUAGAUUUAUUAGCUAAAUUAUCUAAACAAACUCUUUGCCGUUACUCUCCGGUGGUAGGAAGCACCAGCACAGAGGUGUGUCUGGAGAGGAAAAAGAAAAGCCUGACUCAGUUGAGUUGGUGAAGGCUUCCUAACAAAGGGGUCCUAAUGAAGGAGGGCCUGACAAGGAGGAGGAGCGCAGGGUGGUAGAAAGGGAUCAGAAGCAGCAGUUCCUCGAGGCAGCACUGUUUCCCAAAGCCUGGAUGAGUUGGCGGUGACUUCCCAAAGCUCGUAUCAGUUCAGAUUCAGUAAAUGAAACAAGCCAAUGUACUGUCUUGAGAUGGGAAGGGUUACGUAAUUAGGACAAAAUCUUGGAAAAGCCAGAAGAAUGAGCUAUAGACUGACCUAGCAAGAAUGACUCUCAGAAGACCACACAGCCCAGUCACAGUGAGGCCACCACUAGAGUGAUUCCAGCAAGACCAUGUUGCUGCCACUGCAACUGCCUUUCAACACCCAGGAAGCCAGGGAAGGGACACCGGAGCUCUGCUGUGGAAAAGGACACCUACAAAAUCACUCACCCAGCCUAUCAGCCAGUAAAGCAAGGAGAGGACCUCAGCCCUGUCUCCAGUUCCUUGGUGUUAGAAAGAUCCAUCUCCUUUGUGUGUCCUGGGCUUCUACGAUCUUGUAAUUUAAAAGAAAAUGAAAACGAUGUCUACAGACUCCUGGUCAUUGCAGCCCUGACCAGAGGAUAAGCAGUCUGAGCCACAGAAUCUGCCGCAUGUAAGAAAAUUAGUGUCAUUGUCCAUUCAUAGAAUUCCAAAUAGUUCGCAAUGGCUAGAACAGCAAUCUAUAAAUAUCCAGGUGUGGAUCUCUUUAUAGCAUAAAAAUCCACAGCCCCUUAUGUAUAAGACAGAGACUACAUCCUGUGUUGAAAAAGAUUUAGUGGAAAUAGUUACCAUCUGAGUAAACUUAUACUUAUUAAUUACAGGACUAAAUAUACACUUUGGAAAAUAAUAGCAGUAACAAUUGCUCACAUAACUGCCUGUCAAUCUAUAUCACUUCUCCAGUCAACAAGAGUAAACAGACCACUUGGGCAGUCCACAACUCUCUCUCGGAGGGCCCUGAAACCCGAGUGUUUUAGAUUCAUACUUGGGAAGCAUUGAGCCGUCUAAGACAUUCAGGCAGACGAUGAGUGAGAAGCCCAAAAAUAAAGCUGUAAGAGUAUGCUAAUUUAUUUCGUUAUUGUAUGUGAGGUGCUGUCGAGUCACAAAAUUUAUGCAAAAGAAGGACAAAAACAAAAUUUUCAUAUCAGAGAGAUUACUCAGCGUAGACAAGGCAGUGAGCUGCAGGAAUAAAAGCGAGGACAAGGAGAAAAAUAGUGGAGACUGUUUCAGCAGAGCGGGAAAAGCAGCCCUCUAGCAAGUAGGGUAAAGGUAAUAGAGAUGGAGAAAUUGGGCACUUAGACAGUCUAAGUCUAGGUAUGUAGAUUGUCUAUCUGUCUGUUUAUCUAUCUAUCUAUCUAUCUAUCUAUCUAUCUACAUAUCUAAGUACUGUAACAUGAAUGACUAGUAAGAAAAUGCUUGGGUAACCACGUAAACAUAAAAAUCCUCCCAAUGUCUCAUUCAAGAUGUGCACACACAAAACAAAAGCAGAAAUGAGAGGAGUGCAGAAUUAGCCAGGUUAGUCUGCUAACUCUGCAGAUAUCCAUGGCACGACAGAACAAAGAUACAUUCCUUAUUUGGAUCCCAGUUCAAUAGUGUAGACUGUAUUGUGAGAAGGGAUACAAAUUCUAUUCCAAUUGGUUAUUCAGACUUGAGCGUUCUCGUUUUGUUGGCUCCACUGUCUCCUAGGACCGCUGACUUCUCUCUACUGAAACCAUAGAGUUGAACUGAAAGCAAAGAGGCCUUGUGGAAGAAGCAUUCAUCAUUUGUGUAUCGCUUUAUAUGCUAGAACAGAAACAUGUGUCCUAUCUACUGGGUUCGUACUCCUCUAGGGUAGAGGUUUGAAUGCUGGUCGCCUUGAGGCAUUCUGUGCCUUGGUCUCACAGGAAGUAAUGAUGAUCAGGGACAACAGACCUGCUGACAUCGUAGCUCCAGUCCUGUCCACUACAAUGAAGAACUGAUUCUGAAUCUGUGCACCUAGAUAAGAAUUUGAAAAGCAUGACUUAUGCCUUGAUUUGAUCAAAUCUGGGUACUCGCACAAAUUCAAGUUAUUGAUCAUAAAAUAUCCAGGGCCUAGUAAUGUGUUAGGGAACUUCCUCAAAGACCAUUUGAUCCUGUGAGGACUUAAUCAAGAUUCCAGGUUAACCUUAACCCUCUGGCAUCCCUACUUCUGAACUUUAACUCCGACAUUUGAGACUCGAUGAUUUCACAACAUAUUUGCUAGACCAAACUGUAAACAUUUGUAUUUUUAUAAUAUAAAAAAAUAAUCCCCAUAAAUUUGAGACGUAAAACUUGGUCAGGUUACCUGAUAAAAAUUAUGUUUGAUUCCCUCAACAAAAAUUGUAAUGUAUAUAGUUAGUUACUAUAUUGUUGAACAAAGAAAGUAAUCAGAAAUACGUAUGUGUGUGUAUGCUUAAAAUGCAUCGAUAAAAAUAAAUCAAAGUAAACUUGUUUUCCUCCAAUGCAGUUUUUAUUUUCCCUGAGUGGGGAUUUAAAAUUGCUUCAAUUGUGUUUAAGUUAGUGAACAGAAGUGCUCGGAUGACAAUAACACUUAUAACAAAUGUUCAACUAGCACGUGCAGGAUAACGAGGAAAGGAGGGGUCUGUGCGCAUCUCGGUCAACGCUACAGACACGGUUCCAUAAUGGUUUUUCCUGAAAGGAAAGACAUCCACUUGUUUUUCUCAUGGUAGUGCAGAUCCUUGCACAAUGUACAUUCCUCCCAUUUCACAACAUUUCUGACCCUUUGAGUCGUAUUUUGUCUUUUCUGCUGGUCCUUCUGACUUACAUCACAGUCAUGUUAUAGAAAGAGUGAGAUGUAGGUCAAAGUAUGUCCUCACAGUCCCACUGUGGAAACUGUGGAAGACACACAGGCGGGAAAUAAUGGGCUGUCUUUAUAUAAAGUAAUAAGGAUCGCUCUGCUUUUUUGAAGAAUGUGCCAUGGUACUUGUGAAGCUUGGUCAGUAACAUUUUUUUUUUUCUGGCGAAUUAAGCUUGAAAAUCCACCAUCUCAAGUCAAUUGUAGCCAAACCAGCUUUCUCACAGUUUGCAUGUGAUCUUUAUCAAGUUCUACCUCUCUCCAUGGAAUGGACAGCUGUAAGGCUCCUGGCAGAGUUUGACAUCUCCUCCAGAUACCACCACUGUAGUGUGACCUCAGCAAAUCCCACAAGGAAGUGGAGAGAUACAGCCCAGGAGGAAAGAUCCCUCCUUCCACCCUAGGCUCAAGUCUAUGACUCUGAAGGGUUUCUUUUGCAUUCUGAAGGCUCGGCCUUUUAAUCUAUAAGAUACAGGAGGUGGGCUAAGAGUAUUUCUAAGAUUCUGUAAAGAUCCAAAACACAGCAGGACCCUACACUUUGCGUGGUUGGGGAGGAACUCUCUCCGAAAAGUUGAUUAGUGACAUCAUUUAUGAAGCAAUUAAGAAAAUGCUUGCAACCUUUAUAAUUAUAGUGACAGUGAACAUUUGUAGAGAAAACAAAGAUCAUUUCUGUCCUGUCGACCAGAAUCCACAUCCUCAUUCAUUCAGGCCAACACCAGAUUCAAUCUGGGAUGACCAAGACUUUUCAACCCUGGAUGCA